ACGGACUCAUGCAGUCUGCCUCAUGGCAAGUACUGUGUGGGUUCGUGUUCCUUGGUGGUGAGCCUUGCUUGGUGGUGAGCCUUGCUUGGUGGUGAGCCUUGCUUGGUGGUGAGCCUUGAUGCUCUUAACUGGGUGUCUUGGUAAACCACCUCUGUUACCUUGAGAAAAUUAGAGUGUUCAAAGCAGGCAUAUGCCCAAAUACAUUAGCAUGGAAUAACAAAAUAGGACAUGCAGUUCUAUUUUGUUAGUUUCUAGAGUUGCCAUA
Molecule: ribosomal RNA, 265 nt
Filed under: uncultured fungus
Lineage: Eukaryota; Fungi
Description: partial small subunit ribosomal RNA
Rfam family: Eukaryotic small subunit ribosomal RNA (bases 136-265)
Source: RNAcentral